AGGAAAAGAACAUGGAAAACCCA
This 23-nucleotide small nuclear RNA is filed under the name Arabidopsis thaliana (thale cress). Its description in RNAcentral is "snRNA_05372". The record is from RNAcentral. Lineage: Eukaryota; Viridiplantae; Streptophyta; Magnoliopsida; Brassicales; Brassicaceae.